RNAcentral lists this ribosomal RNA (329 nucleotides) under uncultured eukaryote. RNAcentral describes it as "partial 18S ribosomal RNA". It matches the Rfam family "Eukaryotic small subunit ribosomal RNA", at positions 1470 to 1796 of the family's 1831-position model. The record is from RNAcentral.
CCCUUAGAUGUUCUGGGCCGCACGCGCGCUACACUGUUUGAUUCAGCGAGUCUUAACCUUGACCGAAAGGUUUGGGUAAUCUUCUAAAGUCAAAUGUGAUGGGGAUCGAUCAUUGCAAUUAUUGAUCGUGAACGAGGAAUUCCUAGUAAAUGCAAGUCAUCAGCUUGCGUUGAUUACGUCCCUGCCCUUUGUACACACCGCCCGUCGCUACUACCGAUUGAAUGGUUUAGUGAGAUCUCCGGAUUGGCUCUGUAGGUCCCGCAAGGGAUUUAUUAGUAGCCAAGAAGCUGCUCAAACUUGAUCAUUUAGAGGAAGUAAAAGUCGUAACA